AUCCCAUUUCCAAGAAUUACUGUUUCCUAUAGCAGUGGUUUAAACAGAAGUGCAAACAAUUAAAGAAUCUCAUCCUGCUUAGGGGGCUGUGGCUGUGCCCCUUAAAACGAAUGUGGAGGUUCUUGCCCC
Small nucleolar RNA from Tupaia belangeri (northern tree shrew), 129 nucleotides. NCBI's taxonomy places the organism in Eukaryota, Metazoa, Chordata, Mammalia, Scandentia, Tupaiidae. The record is from Ensembl.